GAAAAUCAGAGCAAUCAUAGUUCAGCCUACUACGACUGAAACAAAAGGGAACGAGAUUGAUUGUCAAAAGGCAAGAUAAGUUGCUUAACAAGCAAGAGUGUGGUACUAACCAAUGAUGGUAAUCAACCACAAGGAAAAAUGAGAUAUGAUUGACCUAUACAUGAGAGGAUUUAUAAGGCAAGAUAUUCUUCUAAGCACGAGAGGUCUUAUAAGAUGAACAAAGAUU
This 226-nucleotide long non-coding RNA is filed under the name Lathyrus oleraceus (garden pea). Its description in RNAcentral is "Pisum sativum (pea) long non-coding RNA (PSAT_LNC006216)". Lineage: Eukaryota; Viridiplantae; Streptophyta; Magnoliopsida; Fabales; Fabaceae. The record is from RNAcentral.